Molecule: ribosomal RNA, 497 nt
Filed under: uncultured bacterium
Lineage: Bacteria
Description: partial 16S ribosomal RNA
Rfam family: Bacterial small subunit ribosomal RNA
Source: RNAcentral
GAUGAACGCUGGCGGCGUGCCUAAUACAUGCAAGUCGAGCGAACAGACGAGGAGCUUGCUCCUCUGGCGUUAGCGGCGGACGGGUGAGUAACACGUGGAUAACCUACCUAUAAGACUGGGAUAACUUCGGGAAACCGGAGCUAAUACCGGAUAAUAUAUUGAACCGCAUGGUUCAAUAGUGAAAGACGGUUUUGCUGUCACUUAUAGAUGGAUCCGCGCCGCAUUAGCUAGUUGGUAAGGUAACGGCUUACCAAGGCAACGAUGCGUAGCCGACCUGAGAGGGUGGUCGGCCGCACUGGAACGGAGACACGGUCCAGGCUCCUACGGGAGGCAGCAGUAGGGAAUCUUCCGCAAUGGGCGAAAGCCUGACGGAGCAACGCCGCGUGAGUGAUGAAGGUCUUCGGAUCGUAAAACUCUGUUAUUAGGGAAGAACAAAUGUGUAAGUAACUAUGCACGUCUUGACGGUACCUAAUCAGAAAGCCACGGCUAACUACGUG